UUCUUUAAGCUAUGAAUAUAUAUAUUUAUAAUUUUUAUCUCUGGUCUACUUUUAAAUAAUUAAUCUUCUUAGAAUACACUUACAUAUAUGUUUGUCAACAGAUCCACUUUUUGGGAAAAGAUAUCCAAUCUUAUCUUCCCCUACUCUGCAGACAGGCUCCCUGGCCUUUGCUCUGGGAGCAGGCUCUUCCUUUCUGUCCUGGUUCCACACCCAGCAAUUGGAUUGUAUUCUUCCAGCUCCCAGGUUAGCAGAAAGUGGCACAAUGGUUCUGUGAGGGAGGCAGGUAAAGAAAACAUCUGGGCAAUAGUAAUUGUUACUACUCUAUACUGGGUCCAGGUAGAUGACAUUCUAAUUAUUCUGAAUUGGUGAAAUAAAAACAGCAGCUGCAGUGGUAUAUUCUUCUCUUAUUUCUCCCAUGGAUUGAGCUCAUUUGUCAGAAGGUUCCUACUCUCUGAAUUCUUUAAAUGAACUAUUUUUUUUCCUCAAACUGUUAUUAGUCCAAAACUUGAAUCAAAAUACCAACAUCCCCAAAAGAUCCUCAGUGGCUUAUUUUCAUUAUCCAGGUACAGCUUUCUAAAAUGUCACUUUUUAAUUAAGUACUUAAAAAUGGAUAACAUUACUAACAUCUACAAAUGUGAAUUUCUAGUACACUAAGUGGUGUUUUAAUUAAUAUUCCUGCAUUUUAUCUUCUCAUCUUCUUCCCCCACCAAAAGAAAAAAAUAGGUUUGAUCCAUUUUGUGUUUCAAUGUUUCUGUGUUAUUAUUUCUUUUAUUAACUUUUAGAAAGAAUAUCAAGAUGCCAAAGAAAAUAUCCAUAGGCAAAACCAAAAAACUCAAAAUUGGUUUUUAAAGAUUUAUACUGAAAAUUUAAUGAGAUGUGAGAGGGAGAUUAUGUCAUACAUCAUUCAGGUGAAGAAACUGAAGAAUAAAGAGUUUAAUGGAAUUGCUCGUGGAAUUUAACCCCAAGCAGUCUACCUGCUAUGUCAGUUCACCUAACAAACACUACUCCAUUAAAAUAUUAUUCUAUCAGUUGGGGAAAUUGCUUUCCAGAGACGACACAUGGCAUUAGAAUAGAAGCCAAAGUAGUUAACUGUUUCUAAUAAAGAGCUUAAGCUUCUUUUUAUCAAUAAUCCUUACCAAAAAUCUUCCAUCUCCUCCAUUCUGAGAAGAUAAAUCUGCAGUUCUUGAAGUGUGUAAAAUUAAUAUAAAUAACCAGCUUGAAAAAAUGUACCCAAAACUCAUUUGGGAUGAAAUUUUAAAUAAUUUUAUGAAAGUAUAAUAGUUUUAUGAAACAUAAUAUUUAAUGUUUUUAUUUCCUAGGAAAAACAGAAUGUGAACAAAUAUGUUCAGAUGCAUGAUGAGAAACAGCUUUUUAAAAAUUUGAGCUAUAUUUCUUAGCAAAGUUAACAUUAUAUAUAAUUCUCUUCACAUUUUUGUAGUAUACAUGCAGCUACCGGUAUACUGUCUAAACUAUAUUUGUGUCUUUUUCUUCCACAGUGCUUGGCAAAUAACUUAUAUUAGCCUUAUUCUUUCUAUUUAAAGUUCAAGAAACAUUUAUUAAUAAAAAUUGAUCAAACACAUAAAAACAUAAAUAUUUAGUUCUUUAUACAAAUUUUAAAAUUCCAAGUCAUAAAAAAAUAUAGAUUUCUAUAUUAUUCGUUAAUAUGUGCAGUUGUAUUAGCCUGGAUCAAUGAGGCUGUUUCCUUAAAACAUUAUUUAGAAACUGAUUAAAGUAGCAAAUAACUAAGAAACACCACCACCACCAAAAGACAUUAGGUAAAGCUUAGGAAUUAUGUAGCACCACCCUGGGUUGCUAAGGCCCUGAAUUGGGCUCUGCUGUAGCUGUUGGUAUAAUGUAUUCAGAGUGGCACAAAGAAAAACCUUCUGCUUAGAAAAUGAGUGGCAAGUUAGAAUAAGCAUGCCCUAAGGGUCUGUUUCAGUCAGCCAGUGAUUCAAAUAGCCCCAACUACUACAAUUAGCAAUGAUCAACACCACUUAAUUCUUCAUGAUGUCAAUUUCUGAUAACCGUAUUUUCAAAGGUUUUAUACGUAGAAGAAGGAACAUCCUGAUGAGAAUACAUACUCGUUGCUAGGAGGGUUCAGCUCAUUUCAAGUUUUAACACUCAUUAGCUGUACGACUUGGGAGAAGUCAAAGAACUCAUACACAUGUUAACUGUUUCCUUCAAUGAGGGUAAAAUAAUCUUGUUGGAAAAAUAUCUUGAUAAUCUCUUAACUGAAAUAAAAAGUUAAAUUAAUAAAUUUAAUUAAAUUUGAGUUGCUGAGAAAUAAUAUUUUCCUAGGGUAAAAUAAAUGAGAUUUGAUCACAAUUAAAACAGUAUAAAUGAAGCCUUUAGAGAAAGGAAAGAAAACCAUUUUUUUACGUGUAAAUGCAUUCCUUGUAUGAACUGAACUUGAACACAGAAAAAAUAAAUUACUACAAAUGAAACAAUAGAUUACUAAAAUCAAUUGAAUUAUUUUCCACUAUAUAUAAUAUAUAGUAGAAAUAUAUAAUAUAUAUUAAAUGUAUAAUAAUGCUAUAUAUUAUAUAUACUACAUAUAUAUACCAUAUAUUAUACAUGCAUAGUAUAUAUAUUAUAUAUACUACAUAUAUAUUGUAUAUAUAAUAUGUAAUAUAUAUUACAUAUAUAUAUUAAGGACCAAAUUCGAGUGAAAUCUAUUGCUAUGAACUUCCUGUAAAUUCCAAAUUGCUUUGGAGGAUUUUUGAGGUUUAACUCAUUUAAAUCCCCAAAACAUAAAGGCAUCUUAAAAAGUAAGUUGGAUAAGUAAGUCAACAAAAGAUCUUGAAAUUGAAACACAUAUGCUGAAUUCCAAUUCGUUGUUUAUAUUGUGUUCCUUGAAUUUAUGAUUCAAAAUUUGAAACUAUAAGCUUCUCAUUUUAAACAUAUGUAUACAUUUAUCAGCCAGCUACAAGGUUCUAGAACAGUGAUUUUCAAACAUUCUCUCUCCCUUUCUCUCUCUCUCUCUGUUUCUAUCUCUCUCUACCUAAACAAGCUAAGAACUGAAAAGUUCUGAUUGACAGGUUGAAAGACCUGGAGCACUUAAGUCUUCUAUUAUUCACCAAUCUUUUCUCCUUCAGCAGGUGGCUCCAAUGUUUAAAACCUAGAGGUUGAACCAGGGGUUGUGAACCUUAAAUAGAGUGUUAUGAGCUACUGACUCUUAAACUUUGAGCUUCAGAGGAAGUUAACAGCAAGUCUGAUGACUCAUAUGCAUUCUCACAUGCUUGAAGGUGGCUGAAGAUGAAAAUAGCCGAACUAGCAGGUUGGUAGGUGUUAUGGUAGCAUCUGUCCCUUCAACCAAGAACAAUCUGCACCUGUGACAUUUGAGUAAACUUUGUGCCAGACUGUGUCUUCUAUUUUUCUUAUAUGAUGUGAUACAAGAUAUGGCCCAAAUCUGAAGAAAACAAAUUAUAUUAUCAUAGUUUUCAUUAUUUUAUGAGCACAGUCAAUGGCAAUAUAACGUUUACAUUUGUGCUUUCUUUCUAACACACCUGCUUUAGGAGUCAAUGAAUCAUUCAAUCCAAAGGGCCACUUAUUUGGUACUUCAUAUGCAGUAAUCUAGUCUAGUAGUAGGCUAGAACACUUGAUAACCAUAAGAGAUAAUCCAAGCCUUUUUUAUUUCUAUCUCAAAUAAGUGGCCUCAGAGUAUCUGUAUCUAGUCUGCCCUUUCAGCCUGAAGAUCAACAUUAGAAUUUUCAGUUUCUCAAGAUACUAGGUUUGCUCCUUUUUUCUCAAUGUCUCUCUCAACCCUGCUCUGGGCAGUUUGCAAUCUAAAGUCCUAUGACUAAAAUAUUUUUUUAAAAAAUAGCAUCCCAGCAUUCUCCUUUGAUUAAAUUAAGUACAAAGCUCUUCAGUAUCCAUGUUAAUAUUUUAAAUAUUGAUUGCAUAUAUGUUAAGAUUUAUAAAACUUUUAGAAAAAUGUCUAUUAUUUAUUAAGAAAGAAAAAUGAGUCUUCUCUAUAGCAAAACUGUGCAUAUUUAAUAGCUAUAUAUCUACUAGAACAUUUUUUGUUUGCAUGUUUUUCAUUUUUAGUUCAACAGAAGAUAAAAACAUGAGUAAAAUGUACAAUUAGCCAUUUAAUAUAAUAUAGAAAUCCUUAAAUAUUUUAUCCAUAUUUUAGGAAUUCUUUUAAACUGUUCUAGCUAAGAUACAAUGAGUUAUAGACAGAGCAUGACCUAGUUAAGAGUGUGGAUUUUGGAAUUGGCCAGGCUUAUUUCAAAUUCUUAACUCUACCAUUAGCUGGAUGAUUUUGGACAAAUUUUUCUAGGAGUCCUGUUUCCUCUUCUGUGAAAUGUGGCUAAUGGAACCUUCCUAAUAAAGUGAGUGUGGCUUAGACAAUUUAAUGAAAUUGUGUAAAUUAUCUCACAUGGAUUCUGUCAUAUGGUAAAAACCCAAGAAAAUUUUUUUCUGCUCUGUCCUCUUUGAAAUAUGCUUGUAAAGUAAAAUAUGAACAACAGUAAACUUGAAUCUUUUCCUUAAUAUGUCCUUUAUGUCCUCAAGGGGAUAAACAGCUUUUUCCUUCAUAUUCUCUGUAGCAGAUACAAAAUGGCCUCCCAAAGAUGUCUGAGUCUUAAUCUCCAGAAUCUUGAAUAUGUUACGUUACAAAUACAUUUGUCAGAUUUUGCAGAUAUGAUUAAGUUAAGGAUCUUGAGAUAUAGAGAUUAUCCUGGAUUAUCCAAGUGGACUCAAUAUAAUCACAGGAGUCCUUGUAAGAAAAGGAGAGAGGUAGGAGAGUGAGAAUCAGGAUAAAAGAUGUGGUGACUGAAGCAAAAUCAGAGACAGAAAUUGAAAUCUGAACAUGCUGGACUGCUAGUUUAUUCAAAACCAGCAGAGGAACUAGCCAAGGAAUGCAGGUAGCCCCUAGAAGAUAGAAAAGGCAAGAAAAUAGAUUCUCUACUAGAGCCACCAAAUGUAAUGCAAUCCUGUAGACACACUGAUUUUAGGACUAUAAAAUAAUAAAUUUAUGUUGUUUUAUAACACUAAAUAUGUGGUAAUUUGUUACAACAGCAAUGGGAAACUGAUACACUCAAUAAAGGCAAUAAAUGGACUAGAAGACGUUACCAUUCUAUGCAAUAUAUAUAUAUACACACACACACACACACACACACACACACACACACACACACAUAUGUAUUUCUUUUUUUUUUUUUU
RNAcentral lists this long non-coding RNA (5166 nucleotides) under Homo sapiens (human). RNAcentral describes it as "HSALNT0064288". Lineage: Eukaryota; Metazoa; Chordata; Mammalia; Primates; Hominidae. The record is from RNAcentral.